RNAcentral lists this transfer RNA (67 nucleotides) under Marmota monax (woodchuck). Its description in RNAcentral is "tRNA.Gly". The record is from RNAcentral. Lineage: Eukaryota; Metazoa; Chordata; Mammalia; Rodentia; Sciuridae.
GGUCGUGGCUCAGAGGUAGAGCGCUUGCCUACCCUGCAUGAGGCACUGGUUUCGAUCCUCAGAACCA